Molecule: long non-coding RNA, 309 nt
Filed under: Androctonus crassicauda
Lineage: Eukaryota; Metazoa; Arthropoda; Arachnida; Scorpiones; Buthidae
Source: RNAcentral
GCCACUCGCCGCAGGGCCGAUGGUGGAAGGAAUGGGGGCGCCUGCGUGCAGAUUGGAGGGGGCAAUGGCGAAGUGGGCGAUGGGCGUCUUGGGAGGUGGUGUGUGCUCGAUCGGAUCGGGAGAGGAGAUCGUGGAAAGUUUGAGGCGAACGCAAUGGAUGCCUGGUGGUGCAUUCAUGACGUGUGGCUUCGAGAAUUUGUGCCCGGCCCUGGGAGUGGGGCCGGUUGGCCUGGAGCUGUGUGGGUUUCUGCUGGAGAGUGCACCGCGGGCCCCUGGUGGCCCUGAGAUGUGCAGAGGGCUGGCGGGCAU